RNAcentral lists this ribosomal RNA (253 nucleotides) under uncultured bacterium. RNAcentral describes it as "partial 16S ribosomal RNA". It matches the Rfam family "Bacterial small subunit ribosomal RNA", at positions 524 to 776 of the family's 1533-position model. The record is from RNAcentral.
AACGUAGGAGACAAACGUUAUCCGGAGUUACUGGGCGUAAAGGGCGUGUAGGUGGUUUCGUAAGUCUGGCGUGAAAUUUGUCGGCUUAACCGGGAAAGGUCGUCGGAUACUGCGGAACUAGAGGACGGUAGAGGCGUGUGGAAUUCCGGGUGUAGUGGUGAAAUGCGUAGAGAUCCGGAGGAACACCAGUGGCGAAGGCGACACGCUGGGCCGUACCUGACACUGAUGCGCGACAGCAUGGGGAGCAAACAGG